AUUGAACGCUGGCGGCAUGCCUUACACAUGCAAGUCGAACGGUAACAGGUCUUCGGAUGCUGACGAGUGGCGAACGGGUGAGUAAUACAUCGGAACUUGCCCGAUCGUGGGGGAUAACGAAGCGAAAGCUUUGCUAAUACCGCAUACGAUCUACGGAUGAAAGCAGGGGACCGCAAGGCCUUGCGCGAACGGAGCGGCCGAUGGCAGAUUAGGUAGUUGGUGGGAUAAAAGCUUACCAAGCCGACGAUCUGUAGCUGGUCUGAGAGGACGACCAGCCACACUGGGACUGAGACACGGCCCAGACUCCUACGGGAGGCAGCAGUGGGGAAUUUUGGACAAUGGGCGAAAGCCUGAUCCAGCCAUACCGCGUGCAGGAUGAAGGCCUUCGGGUUGUAAACUGCUUUUGUACGGAACGAAAAGACUCUGGUUAAUACCUGGGGUCCAUGACGGUACCGUAAGAAUAAGCACCGGCUAACUACGUGCCAGCCGCCGCCGUAA
RNAcentral lists this ribosomal RNA (498 nucleotides) under uncultured bacterium. Its description in RNAcentral is "partial 16S ribosomal RNA". It matches the Rfam family "Bacterial small subunit ribosomal RNA", at positions 30 to 523 of the family's 1533-position model. The record is from RNAcentral.